GCUCUCGUAGCUCAAUUGAUUAGAGCAUGUACUUAAUAAGCAGAGGUCUUGAGUUCAGCUCUCAGCAAGAGCA
Molecule: transfer RNA, 73 nt
Filed under: Nicotiana tabacum (common tobacco)
Lineage: Eukaryota; Viridiplantae; Streptophyta; Magnoliopsida; Solanales; Solanaceae
Rfam family: tRNA
About the family: Transfer RNA (tRNA) molecules are approximately 80 nucleotides in length. Their secondary structure includes four short double-helical elements and three loops (D, anti-codon, and T loops). Further hydrogen bonds mediate the characteristic L-shaped molecular structure. tRNAs have two regions of fundamental functional importance: the anti-codon, which is responsible for specific mRNA codon recognition, and the 3' end, to which the tRNAs corresponding amino acid is attached (by aminoacyl-tRNA synthetases). tRNAs cope with the degeneracy of the genetic code in two manners: having more than one tRNA (with a specific anti-codon) for a particular amino acid; and 'wobble' base-pairing, i.e. permitting non-standard base-pairing at the 3rd anti-codon position.
Source: Rfam by way of RNAcentral